AUCGUGAGGUGUGGGAGAGAAGAAGCAAUAGCGAAAUCGUAGCCUGACGGACAGAAACCUGAUACUAAGGCGUAUUAAGCGGAUAAGUUGGCAAAUAUCAAUGAAGUCCAAAAGGUAACCGUAACCUUAAUGCGUAAAUCAGGCAGGUAGACGAGGAAAGAGU
RNAcentral lists this non-coding RNA (163 nucleotides) under chicken gut metagenome. The record is from RNAcentral.